UACGAAGGGGGCUAGCGUUGUUCGGAAUUACUGGGCGUAAAGCGCGCGCAGGCGGUCUUCCAAGUCAGUGGUGAAAGCCCGGAGCUCAACUCCGGAACUGCCAUUGAAACUGUGAGACUGGAGUACGAGAGAGGUGAGUGGAAUUCCCAGUGUAGAGGUGAAAUUCGUAGAUAUUGGGAAGAACACCGGUGGCGAAGGCGGCUCACUGGCUCGUAACUGACGCUCAGGCGCGACAGCGUGGGGAGCGAACAGG
Molecule: ribosomal RNA, 253 nt
Filed under: uncultured bacterium
Lineage: Bacteria
Description: partial 16S ribosomal RNA
Rfam family: Bacterial small subunit ribosomal RNA
Source: RNAcentral